GAUGAACGCUGGCGGCGUGCUUAACACAUGCAAGUCGAACGGAAAGGCCCAAGCUUGCUUGGGUCCUCGAGUGGCGAACGGGUGAGUAACACGUGGGUGAUCUGCCCUGCACUUCGGGAUAAGCCUGGGAAACUGGGUCUAAUACUGGAUAGGACCACUUCUUGGAUGUUGUGGUGGAAAGUUUUUUCGGUGUGGGAUGAGCUCGCGGCCUAUCAGCUUGUUGGUGGGGUAAUGGCCUACCAAGGCGUCGACGGGUAGCCGGCCUGAGAGGGUGUACGGCCACAUUGGGACUGAGAUACGGCCCAGACUCCUACGGGAGGCAGCAGUGGGGAAUAUUGCACAAUGGGCGCAAGCCUGAUGCAGCGACGCCGCGUGGGGGAUGACGGCCUUCGGGUUGUAAACUCCUUUCGCUAGGGACGAAGCGUUUUGUGACGGUACCUGGAGAAGAAGCACCGGCUAACUACGUG
Molecule: ribosomal RNA, 467 nt
Filed under: uncultured bacterium
Lineage: Bacteria
Description: partial 16S ribosomal RNA
Rfam family: Bacterial small subunit ribosomal RNA
Source: RNAcentral